This is a long non-coding RNA of Etheostoma cragini (Arkansas darter), 438 nucleotides long. RefSeq lists it as uncharacterized. The record is from RefSeq and is a predicted model, not a curated record. NCBI's taxonomy places the organism in Eukaryota, Metazoa, Chordata, Actinopteri, Perciformes, Percidae. The transcript has 3 exons.
UUAGGUCCUUUUGAUUUCUUACAGGUUGAGUCGUUGUUGCCCAUAGCAGGCUAGCAUUCUGCUAAUCAAUGCUGAUUGGUCAGUGAAGGACUGAUUACGACAAAGGAUCUCGCUUGAUGGCUUCUGAAGCGGAACCACAAUGUCAAAGUGAAUAAUGUAUAUCUUUCUAGCACGUGUAUUGACAGAGAGAGCCUAACCUGUCAGCUGUGUUGUCGAUGCCUUGAAAGAAAAAAGGAAGUGACUCAGAGCUUGACGUAAAGCAGUAUCUCUGGCCGUACGAUAUGUAUGACGUCACUGAGAAUUUAAAAGGCUUUUUAGAACAAAAAAAUAACUCAAAAAAAAGUAACACCCAGAAGCGUUUAUUUCGUUAGCCUCCCCUUUCAAAUGCAACAUUCAAAUUACUAGACAAAAAAUGUUAUCUUGAGAAAAGUGGAUUUG